CAUUAUAUUAUGCUGAUAAAUUUCUAAUUGUACUUUAAGUAAUGUUUAAUUGAAGUUUAUUUAGUUCUGCUGGUCAAAUUAAAAUUCAACAUUGAUUUAACAAGUUAAUGGUAAUUUAGUUUCAAUUUACCCACAAGUAGGCACCAGAAACAGCAAGUAAUGUGAAAUGGUUAAUACAACAUUUGCGUUGCUUACACGAUUAGUCCAAAUUGUGCAGGGUACCAGAAUCCGAAAACCAACAGACCAUAAAGGAUUACAUUCAGGAAAGGAAGAGUAAUUGUAUAAUAGAUGUGGAACGCAAGGAAGCAUGCAGUGGUAAGCGUGUUCUUGCACUCUUCGUUUAAUAACACCAGAUGGGAGAUUGAAUAAACCAUUUUCUACUAGA
Molecule: long non-coding RNA, 385 nt
Organism: Dendroctonus ponderosae (mountain pine beetle)
Lineage: Eukaryota; Metazoa; Arthropoda; Insecta; Coleoptera; Curculionidae
Exons: 2
Source: RefSeq, a predicted model, not a curated record